CUGUAUGUUUUCACAGCCUCAGCCCCCCCCCCCCACACACACACAAACAAAGAGGCGUUAGGCUGAGACGCUGAAAGUCCGGAUUUAAAGUGCAGAAAAUUAAGCCAUUGAAUCUGCCUGUCCAUGACGUACAAAGACACACUAUGAGCCAGUAUGAUCCGACCAGACCUUACAUCAGCAUUGAGGAGUUGUCGGAGAAGAAAGAGGCUGAUUGAAGCGGGACAGAUGACAUGGAUCCAUCCUUCCACAGCCAGGAGCGCACCGACCUGUGUCCCACACUUCAUAUAAGACUGGAAGCUACACUGAUCUCACAGCUACACACCACAGACGUCUACACACUGGAGAAGAUUCAGACAGAGUCCCACAAAGAAGUCAUGACCCAGAGGCUGCAGAGAAACAUUUCAAGCCUCAUCUGAGUUUUUGUACAAUAUUUUUGCUGUAUGUAAAUAAAGCUUUCACUCCA
This is a long non-coding RNA of Limanda limanda (common dab), 463 nucleotides long. RefSeq lists it as uncharacterized. The record is from RefSeq and is a predicted model, not a curated record. Lineage: Eukaryota; Metazoa; Chordata; Actinopteri; Pleuronectiformes; Pleuronectidae. The transcript has 3 exons.